GGCAACGUGGCCGAGUUGGUUAUGGCGCCAGGUUAAGGUGUACCUUAAUACUAAGUCUGUGCAUUCAGUCUCCUGGUUCGGAAACGAGCAUGGGUUCGAAUCCCAUCGUUGUCA
Eremomyces bilateralis CBS 781.70 is the source of this 114-nucleotide non-coding RNA. NCBI's taxonomy places the organism in Eukaryota, Fungi, Ascomycota, Dothideomycetes, Eremomycetales, Eremomycetaceae. The record is from the annotation of a RefSeq genome assembly.